RNAcentral lists this ribosomal RNA (622 nucleotides) under Phaeotremella pseudofoliacea. RNAcentral's name for it is "eukaryotic LSU rRNA". It matches the Rfam family "Eukaryotic large subunit ribosomal RNA", at positions 47 to 663 of the family's 3401-position model. The record is from RNAcentral. Lineage: Eukaryota; Fungi; Basidiomycota; Tremellomycetes; Tremellales; Phaeotremellaceae.
UAAGCGGAGGAAAAGAAACUAACAAGGAUUCCCCUAGUAACGGCGAGUGAACCGGGAAGAGCUCAAAUUUGUAAUCUGGCCCUUGGGUCCGAGUUGUAAUCUAUAGAGGCGUUUUCCGCGCCGGACCGUGUCCAAGUCCCUUGGAAUAGGGUAUCAAAGAGGGUGACAAUCCCGUACUUGACACGACGACCGGUGCUAUGUGAUACGUCUUCGACGAGUCGAGUUGUUUGGGAAUGCAGCUCAAAAUGGGUGGUAAAUUCCAUCUAAAGCUAAAUAUUGGCGAGAGACCGAUAGCGAACAAGUACCGUGAGGGAAAGAUGAAAAGCACUUUGGAAAGAGAGUUAAACAGUACGUGAAAUUGUUAAAAGGGAAACGAUUGAAGUCAGUCGUGUUGGUUGGAUUCAGCUCGGUCUCCGGGUGUAUUUCCUUCCAACGGGUCAACAUCAGUUUGGAUCGGCGGAUAAAGAUGGAGGGAACGUGGCUCUCUCGGGAGUGUUAUAGCCCUCUGUUGCAUACGCUGGUCUGGACUGAGGCAUGCAGCUCGCCUUUAUGGCCGGGAUUCGUCCACGUUCGAGCUUAGGAUGUUGACAUAAUGGCUUUAAACGACCCGUCUUGAAACACG